CAGUCGCCGCGGUAAUACGGAGGGAGCUAGCGUUGUUCGGAAUUACUGGGCGUAAAGCGCACGUAGGCGGCUUUGUAAGUUAGAGGUGAAAGCCUGGAGCUCAACUCCAGAAUUGCCUUUAAGACUGCAUCGCUUGAAUCCAGGAGAGGUGAGUAGAAUUCCGAGUGUAGAGGUGAAAUUCGUAGAUAUUCGGAAGAACACCAGUGGCGAAGGCGGCUCACUGGACUGGUAUUGACGCUGAGGUGCGAAAGCGUGGGGAGCAAACAGGAUUAGAUACCCCCGUAGUCCCUGUCUCUUAUAC
This 301-nucleotide ribosomal RNA is filed under the name uncultured bacterium. RNAcentral describes it as "partial 16S ribosomal RNA". It matches the Rfam family "Bacterial small subunit ribosomal RNA", at positions 509 to 807 of the family's 1533-position model. The record is from RNAcentral.